GUCCUAGGAGCGCAUUGGAUAGCUCGUUGAACUAUUAAUCCAAAGGUUGUGGGUUCAAAUCCCACAUAGGAUA
Trichonephila clavipes is the source of this 73-nucleotide non-coding RNA. The record is from the annotation of a GenBank genome assembly. Lineage: Eukaryota; Metazoa; Arthropoda; Arachnida; Araneae; Nephilidae.